RNAcentral lists this ribosomal RNA (874 nucleotides) under uncultured Candidatus Altimarinota bacterium. RNAcentral's name for it is "bacterial SSU rRNA". It matches the Rfam family "Bacterial small subunit ribosomal RNA", at positions 512 to 1398 of the family's 1533-position model. The record is from RNAcentral. Lineage: Bacteria; Candidatus Altimarinota.
CAGCCGCGGUAAUACGUAGGCGCCAAGCGUUAUCCGGAAUUAUUGGGCGUAAAGCGUCUGUCGGCGGUAAUGUAAGUCUGGUGUGAAAUUUCAAUGCUUAACAUUGAAUGCGUACCGGAAACUAUAUUACUAGAGUCUAAGAGAGGCCACUGGAAUUUCUGUUGUAGGGGUAAAAUCCGUAGAUAACAGAAGGAACACCAAAAGCGAAAGCAGGUGGCUGGCUUAGUACUGACGCUCAGAGACGAAAGCGUGGGUAGCGAACGGGAUUAGAUACCCCGGUAGUCCACGCCGUAAACUAUGAGUGCUAGGUGUUGGAGGGAUUCGACCCCCUUCAGUGUCUACAGCUAACGCGUUAAGCACUCCGCCUGGGGAGUACGGUCGCAAGACUAAAACUCAAAGGAAUAGACGGGGACCCGCACAAGCGGUGGAUCAUGUGGUUUAAUUCGACGAUAAGCGAGAAACCUCACCUAGACUUGACAUCUCGAGAAGGUUCUAGAAAUAGAACUGUGCCUUUUGGAACUCGAUGACAGGUGCUGCAUGGUUGUCGUCAGCUCGUGCCCUGAGGUGUUCGGUUAAGUCCGUAAACGAGCGCAACCCUUGUAAUAUGUUGUAUUUUUCAUAUUAGACUGCCGGCUCCAAGCCGGAGGAAGGUAGGGAUGACGUCAAAUCAGCAUGGCCCUUAUGUCUAGGGCUACACACGUGAUACAAUGGAUCGUACAAUGGGUAGCCAAGGAGUAAUCUGGAGCCAAUCCCAAGAACGAUCCUCAGUUCGGAUUGAGGUCUGCAACUCGACCUCAUGAAGUUGGAAUCGCUAGUAACCGUGGAUCAGAAUGCCACGGUGAAUAUGUUCCCGGGUCUGCACUCACCGCCCGUC